Non-coding RNA from Coturnix japonica (Japanese quail), 2182 nucleotides. The record is from RefSeq and is a predicted model, not a curated record. Lineage: Eukaryota; Metazoa; Chordata; Aves; Galliformes; Phasianidae.
GGCGAGCCCUGGCGGAGCUCGGCGGGCGGUGGGCGGGGCCGCGGCUGAGCGCGGCGGAGAGGAGCGACCCCUCCCCCAGUUCAGAGGGAAGCAAUGAGACUGAAACUCCUGCGCCUUCAGACUACAUCUUUUCACUCUUUAACUACUAUAUGCCGAUGCCAAAGAUUUAAUAAAACUGGACAUCGUCUUCUAAAGCUGGAUAAAGAUGUUGACAGAACGGAUCAUAGUACAGCUAAGAAGAUUGGGAACUCGUAUGCUCCAAAGACUGCUUCCCCUUCUUUGACAAGUCCCUGUGUGCGAGUCAAGAAUUGGCAAAUGAUCCAAGGAAAUGUAUCUGCUUUGGGGAAAAGUGUUUAUUAUCAGGGUGGGGAGAUGUUUAUCCCACCCUGGAAACGUUUUGGCUUGGCAGCAGUGGAAAACUACAAGCUCAGUGUGGAAUAUAUUAAAAAGCUCGGGAACAUAUCGUCAAGAUUUUACUCAAUUGUAUCAAGUAGUAAAAUUAUUCCAAAGUCAAGUACCCAGCCAGUUAAAAGGCCACCAAAGGCACCGAGGACCAAGCAACCCUCCAGAGCUAACCAGCCACUACUGUCAGACAUGGAGAAUCUGAUGCAGUGCACAGCCUUUGCAACAGCAGAUGAAUAUCAUCUUGGUAAUCUGUGUCAUGACCUGACUUCCCAUGGAUAUGUUGAAAUAACAAGUUUGCCCAGAGAUGCUGCAAAUGUUUUGGUGAUGGGUACUGAGAAAUCUGCUAAAGAAGAUGAUCCUGGCAUGAUUUUUUUCUUCAGGGAAGGGGCUGUUGUGUUUUGGAAUGUGGAUGAGAAAAGUAUGAAGAAUAUAUUGCGAGUGCUGGAACAGCAUGAAAUUCAGCCCUAUGAAGUUGCGCUAGUCCACUGGGAAAAUGAAGAGAUAAACUAUAGAAUAGGAGAAGGACAAUCAAAGCUUCAUAAGGGAGAAAUCUUGUUAAAUUCUGAGCUGGAUGCUGAUGAAGUCAUUCUGCAGAAAUUUGCCUUUUCAAAUGCCAUGUGUCUUUCUGUAAAACUGGCUAUUUGGGAAUCGUUACUGGAUAACUUUGUGGAAUCUAUCCAGUCAAUUCCUGAGAUACUAAAAUCAAGAAGGAAGGUAAAACUGUCUCACGCAGAUGUCAUGCAGAAAAUCGGAGAACUUUUUGCGUUAAGACACCGCAUAAAUCUGAGUUCAGACCUGCUAAUAACACCUGACUUCUACUGGGACAGAGAAAAACUGGAAGAGCUUUAUGACAAAACAUGCCAAUUUCUCAAUAUUAAUCGCAGAGUUAAGUUUAGGUUAACAACCCUGCCUCAACCACCUAGACUUAAAUGGAUUAUGCACUUCCUGAGCCACUAACAUAGGCUUUAAAUAGUUGUAAGAAGAGGAGCUUUAAUUCUUUUUCUGAAAUGUGUGCAAGAAAACAAGUUUAAAAAAAAACAGUGAUGUGAAGCAGUCGUCUUAUUGAUGACAUGAGCAUCCAGGUCAGUUCAUUGCAGGGCUAUGUUAUGCUAACUGCUCUACUAGAAUAAGCAUGAGAUACCAUACUUACUUACAUACUUAUUUAGUUACUUCUGAGGCAUUCCCAUAAGCUGCAUGUCAUUUGCUUGCAUCGUUUUGUGACUAAAUGUCACCCAGUAGCUGUUUAAUACCUGCACAUGCAUAUCUAAGUUUGUUCUUUUACGACUCUGUUGAAAUAAGAGUUGUAUCAGAACUCCCGUUGCUUAUGCAUGCUACCUUACAAGACUUUGUAUUCUGCACUUCUGCAGAAAUAUUAACAGCUUUCUGCAGUGAGCCCCUUUAUGGAUUGUCUCUUUAGUGAUCUCAUACAACAUGUAGAACCCAGCUUUGCCCUGUGUUUGAAAUCUGUUGCAGGUAAUGAAUGAAAAGCUGCAGCACUGCAUGGAGCUGACAGACCUAAUGCGAAACCACCUGAAUGAAAAGCAUGCUCUGCGCCUUGAGUGGAUGAUAGUCAUACUCAUCACCAUUGAGGUUAUGUUUGAACUCGCAAGGGUAGUGUUCUGACAUCAGAAUAAACUCUGGAAGGAAACUGACAAAACCAUAAUGACCAUAAAGCCAAGAAAAUUCCUGUCUUACAUGCUUCUGGAAAAUAGUGGAAUUGUCUCUCUUGAUAAAUAUGUACAUACUCUACUCAAAUAAAGAAAUUAUGAAUGUUAUA